AGUUGGGGGCAUUAAUAUUUAAUUGUCAGAGGUGAAAUUCUUGGAUUUAUGAAAGAUUAACUUCUGCGAAAGCAUCUGCCAAGGAUGUUUUCAUUAAUCAAGAACGAAAGUUAGGGGAUCGAAGACGAUCAGAUACCGUCGUAGUCUUAACCAUAAACGAUGCCGACCAGCGAUUAGGAGACGUUGAAUACAAAACACCACCAUCGGUGCGGUCGUUCUUGGCGUCGGUCUUUCGGCCGGCGCGGGAGCGGCUUAGCCCGGUGGCACCGGUGAAGCACUCCCCUAGCAGCUUGUGAGAAAUCAUAAGUCUUUGGGUUCCGGGGGGAGUAUGGUCGCAAGGCUGAAACUUAAAGGAAUUGACGGAAGGGCACCACCAGGAGUGGAGCCUGCGGC
This 393-nucleotide ribosomal RNA is filed under the name Acanthamoeba sp. CDC # V504. RNAcentral describes it as "SSU rRNA". It matches the Rfam family "Eukaryotic small subunit ribosomal RNA", at positions 880 to 1189 of the family's 1831-position model. The record is from RNAcentral. Lineage: Eukaryota; Discosea; Longamoebia; Acanthamoebidae.